GGAAUAUUGCACAAUGGGGGAAACCCUGAUGCAGCGACGCCGCGUGAGUGAAGAAGUAUUUCGGUAUGUAAAGCUCUAUCAGCAGGGAAGAAAAUGACGGUACCUGACUAAGAAGCCCCGGCUAACUACGUGCCAGCAGCCGCGGUAAUACGUAGGGGGCAAGCGUUAUCCGGAUUUACUGGGUGUAAAGGGAGCGUAGGUGGCAUGGUAAGUCAGAAGUGAAACCCCAGGGCUCAACCUUGGGAUUGCUUUUGAAACUAUCAGGCUAGAGUGCAGGAGGGGUAAGCGGAAUUCCUGGUGUAGCGGUGAAAUGCGUAGAUAUCAGGAAGAACACCGGUGGCGAAGGCGGCUUACUGGACUGUAACUGACACUGAGGCUCGAAAGCGUGGGGAGCAAACA
This 399-nucleotide ribosomal RNA is filed under the name uncultured bacterium. RNAcentral describes it as "bacterial SSU rRNA". It matches the Rfam family "Bacterial small subunit ribosomal RNA", at positions 358 to 774 of the family's 1533-position model. The record is from RNAcentral.